Molecule: ribosomal RNA, 512 nt
Filed under: uncultured bacterium
Lineage: Bacteria
Description: bacterial SSU rRNA
Rfam family: Bacterial small subunit ribosomal RNA
Source: RNAcentral
AUUGAACGCUGGCGGAAUGCUUUACACAUGCAAGUCGAGCGGCAGCGCGGGGCAACCUGGCGGCGAGCGGCGAACGGGUGAGUAAUGUAUCGGAACGUAUCCUUAAGUGGGGGACAACUAGUCGAAAGACUAGCUAAUACCGCAUACGAUCGAGAGAUGAAAGUGGGGGACCGCAAGGCCUCACGCUUUUGGAGCGGCCGAUAUCCGAUUAGCUUGUUGGUGAGGUAAAGGCUUACCAAGGCUAUGAUCGGUAGCUGGUCUGAGAGGAUGAUCAGCCACACUGGGACUGAGACACGGCCCAGACUCCUACGGGAGGCAGCAGUGGGGAAUUUUGGACAAUGGGGCAACCCUGAUCCAGCCAUUCCGCGUGAGUGAAGAAGGCCUUCGGGUUGUAAAGCUCUUUUGUCGGGGUACGAAACGGGUUUCACCUAAUACGUAGUAGACUACUGACGGUACCCGAAGAAUAAGCACCGGCUAACUACGUAGCCAAGCAGCCGCGGUAAAGUACUCUA